This 502-nucleotide ribosomal RNA is filed under the name uncultured Corynebacterium sp. Its description in RNAcentral is "bacterial SSU rRNA". It matches the Rfam family "Bacterial small subunit ribosomal RNA", at positions 1 to 507 of the family's 1533-position model. Lineage: Bacteria; Bacillati; Actinomycetota; Actinomycetes; Mycobacteriales; Corynebacteriaceae. The record is from RNAcentral.
AGUAGUUUCGAUCCUGGCUCAGGACGAACGCUGGCGGCGUGCUUAACACAUGCAAGUCGAACGGAAAGGCCUGCCACCUUGGUGGUGGGUACUCGAGUGGCGAACGGGUGAGUAACACGUGGGUGAUCUGCCCCGCACUGUGGGAUAAGCCUGGGAAACUGGGUCUAAUACCACAUACGACCAUGGCGUAGGGGUCAUGGUGGAAAGCUUUUGCGGUGUGGGAUGAGCCCGCGGCCUAUCAGCUUGUUGGUGGGGUAAUGGCCUACCAAGGCGGCGACGGGUAGCCGGCCUGAGAGGGUGGACGGCCACAUUGGGACUGAGACACGGCCCAGACUCCUACGGGAGGCAGCAGUGGGGAAUAUUGCACAAUGGGCGCAAGCCUGAUGCAGCGACGCCGCGUGGGGGAUGGAAGGCCUUCGGGUUGUAAACUCCUUUCGCCCGGGACGAAGCCCACCUUGGUGGGUGACAGUACCGUGGAGAAGAAGCACCGGCUAACUACGUG